Molecule: unclassified non-coding RNA, 352 nt
Filed under: soil metagenome
Description: partial contains 5.8S ribosomal RNA, internal transcribed spacer 2, and large subunit ribosomal RNA
Rfam family: 5.8S ribosomal RNA (bases 1-120)
Source: RNAcentral
GAUGAAGAACGUAGCGAAAUGCGAUAAGUAAUGUGAAUUGCAGAAUUCAGUGAAUCAUCGAAUCUUUGAACGCACAUUGCGCCCGCCAGUAUUCUGGCGGGCAUGCCUGUUCGAGCGUCAUUACAACCCUCAGGCCCCCGGGCCUGGCGUUGGGGAUCGGCGGAGCCCCCCGUGGGCACACGCCGUCCCCCAAAUACAGUGGCGGUCCCGCCGCAGCUUCCAUCGCGUAGUAGCUAACACCUCGCGACUGGAGAGCGGCGCGGCCACGCCGUAAAACACCCAACUCUUCUGAAGUUAACCUCGAAUCAGGUAGGAAUACCCGCUGAACUUAAGCAUAUCAAUAAGCGGAGGA